CAACAGGGAUUGCCUCAGUAACGGCGAGUGAAGCGGCAAAAGCUCAAAUUUGAAAUCCCCCCGGGGAGUUGUAAUUUGAAGAUUGCGUCUUGGAGGCGACCGUGUCUAUGUUCCUUGGAACAGGACGUCACAGAGGGUGAGAAUCCCGUGCGGCACGGCCCCCGGCUCCUUAUAAGGCGCUCUCGACGAGUCGAGUUGUUUGGGAAUGCAGCUCAAAGUGGGUGGUAAAUUCCAUCUAAAGCUAAAUACAGGCGAGAGACCGAUAGCGAACAAGUACAGUGAUGGAAAGAUGAAAAGCACUUUGAAAAGAGAGUGAAACAGCACGUGAAAUUGUUGAAAGGGAAGGGCAUGCCGUCAGAUUGUCAGUGUGGGUAAGAAGCGGGGUACAAAGACUGUGGAACGUGGCCCUCGGGUGUUAUAGCCGCAGUUCAUGCCCCGUCUCUUUCCGAGGCCUGCUUUGAGGACACCGACGUAAUGACGGUACGCCGCCCGUCUUGAAACACGGACCA
RNAcentral lists this ribosomal RNA (509 nucleotides) under Kodamaea sp. NRRL Y27634. Its description in RNAcentral is "eukaryotic LSU rRNA". It matches the Rfam family "Eukaryotic large subunit ribosomal RNA", at positions 66 to 668 of the family's 3401-position model. Lineage: Eukaryota; Fungi; Ascomycota; Pichiomycetes; Serinales; Debaryomycetaceae. The record is from RNAcentral.